CUAUCUCUAUUUAUAGGUACCCGUAACCGUGAAUAGGAAUAGUAACUCAUGAGAAAAAUACUAGGAUAUAAAUCCUAGUAAUGACAUAUUAUCGGCGCGGUA
Aedes aegypti (yellow fever mosquito) is the source of this 102-nucleotide long non-coding RNA. RefSeq lists it as uncharacterized. The transcript is spliced from 2 exons. NCBI's taxonomy places the organism in Eukaryota, Metazoa, Arthropoda, Insecta, Diptera, Culicidae. The record is from RefSeq and is a predicted model, not a curated record.